GCCUGGCUAGCUCAGUUGGUAGAGCAUCAGACUUUUAAUCUGAGGGUCCAGGGUUCAAGUUCCUGGUCAGGUG
RNAcentral lists this transfer RNA (73 nucleotides) under Chelydra serpentina (North American snapping turtle). It matches the Rfam family "tRNA". From Rfam's summary of the family: Transfer RNA (tRNA) molecules are approximately 80 nucleotides in length. RNAcentral also lists the same sequence under 2 other names. Lineage: Eukaryota; Metazoa; Chordata; Testudines; Chelydridae. The record is from Rfam by way of RNAcentral.